This is a long non-coding RNA of Culex quinquefasciatus (southern house mosquito), 456 nucleotides long. RefSeq lists it as uncharacterized. The record is from RefSeq and is a predicted model, not a curated record. Lineage: Eukaryota; Metazoa; Arthropoda; Insecta; Diptera; Culicidae. The transcript has 2 exons.
CCCGGUCUGUGAUCGAGGAAGCGGAUUGGUGUUUAACUUUCCGCGGGAUGUGGCGGUGCAUGGUUUUUAUACGGUAACCAAAAAUAUUCCAAUCGAAUCCUGCUGACAACCCAGCGUUUCCGUAUUGUCCCACGGAACGGAAGCUGUAACGAUCGCAAAAACACCUGCACUGGAAGUGCGUAUACCAACGUUGUCCCGUAGGCCAUCAAUCUGUGAGAAUUAAAUAGAAGCGCCGCUCCAGUGCCGUAUCUACACGCUGGUGUCGACUCCAAAAGAUGGCUGACAAAGUCCGGCCAAGAUGCCGAAGCGACGAGAUGAGCUGAAAGGCCAAUCGGAAGACAACGCCAAAAACCACGUGAAGAUCGCGACACACAACAAGAAAAAUUAAUGAAUGUUUGUGAAAUCGAGUGAAAAAGAUUAAUUAACAGAAAAAAUAUAUCUAAAAAUAAUUUAAAA